GGAUGAACGCUGGCGGCGUGCCUAAUACAUGCAAGUCGAGCGAACGGACGAAAAGCUUGCUUUUCUGAUGUUCGCGGCGGACGGGUGAGUAACACGUGGAUAACCUACCUAUAAGACUGGGAUAACUUCGGGAAACCGGAGCUAAUACCGGAUAAUAUUUUGAACCGCAUGGUUCAAAAGUGAAAGACGGUCUUGCUGUCACUUAUAGAUGGAUCCGCGCUGCAUUAGCUAGUUGGUAAGGUAACGGCUUACCAAGGCAACGAUGCAUAGCCGACCUGAGAGGGUGAUCGGCCACACUGGAACUGAGACACGGUCCAGACUCCUACGGGAGGCAGCAGUAGGGAAUCUUCCGCAAUGGGCGAAAGCCUGACGGAGCAACGCCGCGUGAGUGAUGAAGGUCUUCGGAUCGUAAAACUCUGUUAUUAGGGAAGAACAUAUGUGUAAGUAACUGUGCACAUCUUGACGGUACCUAAUCAGAAAGCCACGGCUAACUACGUG
This 498-nucleotide ribosomal RNA is filed under the name uncultured bacterium. Its description in RNAcentral is "partial 16S ribosomal RNA". It matches the Rfam family "Bacterial small subunit ribosomal RNA", at positions 27 to 507 of the family's 1533-position model. The record is from RNAcentral.